UACGUAGGUGGCAAGCGUUGUCCGGAAUUAUUGGGCGUAAAGCGCGCGCAGGCGGUCCUUUAAGUCUGAUGUGAAAUCCCACGGCUCAACCGUGGAAGGUCAUUGGAAACUGGGGGACUUGAGUACAGAAGAGGAAAGCGGAAUUCCAAGUGUAGCGGUGAAAUGCGUAGAGAUUUGGAGGAACACCAGUGGCGAAGGCGGCUUUCUGGUCUGUAACUGACGCUGAGGCACGAAAGCGUGGGGAGCAAACAGG
This 253-nucleotide ribosomal RNA is filed under the name uncultured bacterium. RNAcentral's name for it is "partial 16S ribosomal RNA". It matches the Rfam family "Bacterial small subunit ribosomal RNA", at positions 524 to 776 of the family's 1533-position model. The record is from RNAcentral.